GGGGAAUAUUGCACAAUGGGGGAAACCCUGAUGCAGCAACGCCGCGUGAAGGAAGACGGUCUUCGGAUUGUAAACUUUUGUUCUUGGUGAAGAAAAAUGACGGUAGCCAAGGAGGAAGCCACGGCUAACUACGUGCCAGCAGCCGCGGUAAUACGUAGGUGGCAAGCGUUGUCCGGAAUUACUGGGUGUAAAGGGCGUGUAGGCGGGACUGCAAGUCAGAUGUGAAAACCAUGGGCUCAACCUGUGGCCUGCAUUUGAAACUGUAGUUCUUGAGUACUGGAGAGGCAGACGGAAUUCCUAGUGUAGCGGUGAAAUGCGUAGAUAUUAGGAGGAACACCAGUGGCGAAGGCGGUCUGCUGGACAGCAACUGACGCUGAGGCGCGAAAGCGUGGGGAGCAAACAGGAUUAGAUACCCUGGUAGUCCACGCUGUAAACGAUGGAUACUAGGUGUGGGGGGUCUGACCCCCUCCGUGCCGCAGUUAACACAAUAAGUAUCCCACCUGGGGAGUACGAUCGCAAGGUUGAAACUCAAAGGAAUUGACGGGGGCCCGCACAAGCGGUGGAGUAUGUGGUUUAAUUCGAAGCAACGCGAAGAACCUUACCAGGGCUUGACAUCCCGGUGACCGGUGUAGAGAUACACCUUCUUCUUCGGAAGCACCGGUGACAGGUGGUGCAUGGUUGUCGUCAGCUCGUGUCGUGAGAUGUUGGGUUAAGUCCCGCAACGAGCGCAACCCUUAUUGUUAGUUGCUACGCAAGAGCACUCUAGCGAGACUGCCGUUGACAAAACGGAGGAAGGUGGGGACGACGUCAAAUCAUCAUGCCCCUUAUGUCCUGGGCCACACACGUACUACAAUGGUGGUCAACAGAGGGAAGCAAGACCGCGAGGUGGAGCAAACCCCUAAAAGCCAUCCCAGUUCGGAUUGCAGGCUGCAACUCGCCUGUAUGAAGUUGGAAUCGCUAGUAAUCGCGGAUCAGCAUGCCGCGGUGAAUACGUUCCCG
Molecule: ribosomal RNA, 999 nt
Filed under: uncultured bacterium
Lineage: Bacteria
Description: bacterial SSU rRNA
Rfam family: Bacterial small subunit ribosomal RNA
Source: RNAcentral